This 450-nucleotide ribosomal RNA is filed under the name uncultured bacterium. RNAcentral's name for it is "partial 16S ribosomal RNA". It matches the Rfam family "Bacterial small subunit ribosomal RNA", at positions 354 to 796 of the family's 1533-position model. The record is from RNAcentral.
GCUAAGAAUAUUCCGCAAUGGACGAAAGUCUGACGGAGCGACGCCGCGUGGAUGAGGAAGGCCGAAAGGUUGUAAAGUCCUUUUGUCGAUGAAGAAUAAGUGGUGGAGGGAAUGCCAUCAUGAUGACGUUAGUCGGCGAAUAAGCCCCGGCUAAUUACGUGCCAGCAGCCGCGGUAACACGUAAGGGGCAAGCGUUGUUCGGAAUUAUUGGGCGUAAAGGGUACGUAGGCGGUUAUGUAAGCCCGGCGUGAAAUCCUGCAGCUUAACUGUAGAGCUGCGCUGGGAACUGCGUAACUUGAGUCAUGGAAGGGAAGUUAGAAUUCCAGGUGUAGGGGUGAAAUCUGUAGAUAUCUGGAAGAAUACCGGUGGCGAAGGCGAACUUCUGGCCAAUGACUGACGCUGAGGUACGAAAGUGCGGGGAGCAAACAGGAUUAGAUACCCUUGUAGUCC